Molecule: ribosomal RNA, 398 nt
Filed under: uncultured bacterium
Lineage: Bacteria
Description: bacterial SSU rRNA
Rfam family: Bacterial small subunit ribosomal RNA
Source: RNAcentral
GGAAUUUUGGGCAAUGGGCGAAAGCCUGACCCAGCAACGCCGCGUGAAGGAUGAAGUAUUUCGGUAUGUAAACUUCGUAAGAAUGGGAAGAAUAAAUGACGGUACCAUUUGUACGGUCCGGCUAACUACGUGCCAGCAGCCGCGGUAAUACGUAGGGACCAAGCGUUGUUCGGAUUUACUGGGCGUAAAGGGAGCGUAGGCGGCGUGACAAGUCACUUGUGAAAUCUCCGGGCUUAACUCGGAGCUGCCAAGUGAUACUGUCGUGCUAGAGUGCAGAAGGGGCAAUCGGAAUUCUUGGUGUAGCGGUGAAAUGCGUAGAUAUCAAGAGGAACACCAGAGGCGAAGGCGGAUUGCUGGGCUGACACUGACGCUGAGGCUCGAAAGCUAGGGGAGCAAAC